Cucumis melo (muskmelon) is the source of this 524-nucleotide long non-coding RNA. RefSeq lists it as uncharacterized. The record is from RefSeq and is a predicted model, not a curated record. The transcript has 2 exons. NCBI's taxonomy places the organism in Eukaryota, Viridiplantae, Streptophyta, Magnoliopsida, Cucurbitales, Cucurbitaceae.
GAGGCGAAACGACUGUGAAGGAGCCCUUUAUUUUCAGAAAUAGCUCGACUCAAAAUAGAGGAGAGGGGAGAAGCGAAACGACUGAAUCUAAUAGGAGUGGUAUUAUUCAAUAGCUCUCCAAAUAAGGAAGGAGAGGGUCAAAGAAUUUGAGGCGAAACGACUGUAUUAUAAUAUUAAUAGGAGUGGUAUUAUGAAAUAACUCUCCAAAUAAGGAAGGAGAGGGUCAAAGAAUUUGAGGCGAAACGACUGUAUUAUCAUAAAAGAAGGAGUGGUAUUAUUCAAUAGCUCUCCAAAUAGUAAGGAGAGGGGAGAAGCGAAACGACUGUAUCUAAUAGGAGUGGUAUUAUUCAAUAGCUCUCAAAAUAAGGAAGGAGAGGGUCAAAGAAUUUGAGGCGAAACGACUGUAUUAUCAUAAAAGAAGGAGUGGCAUUAUGUUUAUUUUAUAUGGAUUUCUGAGUCCUCCGGACGACUCCAAAUAGAGGAGAGGGUCAAAGAAUUUGAGGCGAAACGACUUCAUUAUUGAA